GUGGGGAAUAUUGCACAAUGGGCGCAAGCCUGAUGCAGCGACGCCGCGUGAGGGAUGACGGCCUUCGGGUUGUAAACCUCUUUCAGUAGGGAAGAAGCUUUCGGGUGACGGUACCUGCAGAAGAAGCGCCGGCUAACUACGUGCCAGCAGCCGCGGUAAUACGUAGGGCGCGAGCGUUAUCCGGAAUUAUUGGGCGUAAAGAGCUCGUAGGCGGUUUGUCGCGUCUGCCGUGAAAGUCCGGGGCUUAACCCCGGAUCUGCGGUGGGUACGGGCAGACUAGAGUGCAGUAGGGGAGACCGGAAUUCCUGGUGUAGCGGUGAAAUGCGCAGAUAUCAGGAGGAACACCGAUGGCGAAGGCAGGUCUCUGGGCUGUUACUGACGCUGAGGAGCGAAAGCAUGGGGAGCGAACAGG
This 412-nucleotide ribosomal RNA is filed under the name uncultured bacterium. RNAcentral's name for it is "bacterial SSU rRNA". It matches the Rfam family "Bacterial small subunit ribosomal RNA", at positions 354 to 776 of the family's 1533-position model. The record is from RNAcentral.